AGAUGGGAGCUUGCUCCCUGAUGUUAGCGGCGGACGGGUGAGUAACACGUGGGUAACCUGCCUGUAAGACUGGGAUAACUCCGGGAAACCGGGGCUAAUACCGGAUGGUUGUUUGAACCGCAUGGUUCAAACAUAAAAGGUGGCUUCGGCUACCACUUACAGAUGGACCCGCGGCGCAUUAGCUAGUUGGUGAGGUAACGGCUCACCAAGGCAACGAUGCGUAGCCGACCUGAGAGGGUGAUCGGCCACACUGGGACUGAGACACGGCCCAGACUCCUACGGGAGGCAGCAGUAGGGAAUCUUCCGCAAUGGACGAAAGUCUGACGGAGCAACGCCGCGUGAGUGAUGAAGGUUUUCGGAUCGUAAAGCUCUGUUGUUAGGGAAGAACAAGUACCGUUCGAAUAGGGCGGUACCUUGACGGUACCUAACCAGAAAGCCACGGCUAACUACGUGCCAGCAGCCGCGGUAAUACGUAGGUGGCAAGCGUUGUCCGGAAUUAUUGGGCGUAAAGGGCUCGCAGGCGGUUUCUUAAGUCUGAUGUGAAAGCCCCCGGCUCAACCGGGGAGGGUCAUUGGAAACUGGGGAACUUGAGUGCAGAAGAGGAGAGUGGAAUUCCACGUGUAGCGGUGAAAUGCGUAGAGAUGUGGAGGAACACCAGUGGCGAAGGCGACUCUCUGGUCUGUAACUGACGCUGAGGAGCGAAAGCGUGGGGGAGCGAACAGGAUUAGAUACCCUGNGUAGUCCACGCUCGUAAACGAUNGAGUGCU
RNAcentral lists this ribosomal RNA (767 nucleotides) under Bacillus subtilis. Its description in RNAcentral is "bacterial SSU rRNA". It matches the Rfam family "Bacterial small subunit ribosomal RNA", at positions 70 to 817 of the family's 1533-position model. Lineage: Bacteria; Bacillati; Bacillota; Bacilli; Caryophanales; Bacillaceae. The record is from RNAcentral.